CCUAUUUACGUUUGAGAAAUGGGGUGACGCAGUAGGAUAAGAUGUGCGCACUAUUGGAUGUGCGUCUAAGCACUUAGGCAUGCUUGAUAGGCAAAUCCGUCGAGCUAAGCUGAGGUGUGAUGGGGAGCCAUUUAUGGCGAAGUAUCUGAUUCCACACUGCCAAGAAAAGCCUCUAUCGAGUGAAUAGGUGCCCGUACCGCAAACCGACACAGGUAGGUGAGGAGAGAAUCCUAAGGCCAUCGGAAGAAUUGCUGUUAAGGAACUCGGCAAAUUGACCCCGUAACUUCGGGAGAAGGGGUGCCUACGAAAGUAGGCCGCAGAGAAUAGGCCCAAGCAACUGUUUAGCAAAAACACAGGUCUCUGCUAAAGCGAAAGCUGAUGUAUAGGGGCUGACGCCUGCCCGGUGCUGGAAGGUUAAGGGGAACACUUAGCGUAAGCGAAGGUGUGAACUUAAGCCCCAGUAAACGGCGGCCGUAACUAUAACGGUCCUAAGGUAGCGAAAUUCCUUGUCGGGUAAGUUCCGACCCGCACGAAUGGCGUAAUGAUUUGGGCACUGUCUCAACAGCAAAUCCGGCGAAAUUGUAGUGCAAGUGAAGAUGCUUGCUACCCGCGAU
This 614-nucleotide ribosomal RNA is filed under the name Clostridium botulinum. RNAcentral's name for it is "partial 23S ribosomal RNA". It matches the Rfam family "Bacterial large subunit ribosomal RNA", at positions 1447 to 2076 of the family's 2925-position model. Lineage: Bacteria; Bacillati; Bacillota; Clostridia; Eubacteriales; Clostridiaceae. The record is from RNAcentral.